GAUGGAGGUUUCAAUUUUUACUGUAAGACAAAGAAUGGACAGAGUCAGAGAUAUAUGAUAUAAAGAACUCUGGUUGUUCAAACUGAUGGUCAAACCGAUAUAGAAAUAAAUUGAAAUAGAUGACUUGUCGAUUAACUGGGAGAAACCGAGGCGAGGAACGAUACAAAUGAAAGUCAACGCAACGAAAGUGUUUUUGUUUUGAUGGUUGACUUGGAAAGCACAAAGAAAGCAUUUUUAAUAAAAGUACAUGUACUUAGAGAAGUAGGAGAAGAUAAUCAACAGAACAGAAGUCAUUAGAGGCAAUGCUUUCUAGAUUAUAUAGACUAGUAGUGGAUUUGAAAAUUGCUGUAUUGAUUCAUGUGCAAAUAAGGAGUAGCAGACAACGAAACAUUGUGUGAUGAAAGAGGUCAUUUCUCCACAAAAACAAGCUAAAUGUCAAUGGGCCUGAUGAAAUCGAGUUUUUUCUUGGAUAUUUGGGAGAAGUGGAACAUAUUAAUGAUACAGAAAAGGGGGAAAUAUUACAGUACAUGGACACCAGCAUGAGCAAGAAAAGACAAGAAUCUGCCUUGGAAAGAAACUAGUUUGAAGAAAAAGAAAAAAGAUGAUGAAAUUGACUUAUUUUUGUUACAAUAUAUUUGAAAUGUUACAUUUGAUUAUACACUUUACAAAUUUUAAAAAUAUAUUCUUCUACCACA
Molecule: long non-coding RNA, 695 nt
Organism: Mytilus californianus (California mussel)
Lineage: Eukaryota; Metazoa; Mollusca; Bivalvia; Mytilida; Mytilidae
Exons: 4
Source: RefSeq, a predicted model, not a curated record